This 325-nucleotide ribosomal RNA is filed under the name uncultured bacterium. RNAcentral's name for it is "bacterial SSU rRNA". It matches the Rfam family "Bacterial small subunit ribosomal RNA", at positions 28 to 334 of the family's 1533-position model. The record is from RNAcentral.
GAUGAACGCUGGCGGCGUGCUUAACACAUGCAAGUCGAACGAAGCAUUCCAGACGGAACAGCUUGCUGGGAAGACUGGGAUGACUGAGUGGCGGACGGGUGAGUAACGCGUGGGCAACCUGCCUCACACUGGGGGAUAACAGCCAGAAAUGGCUGCUAAUACCGCAUAACAAAUAACUUUGCAUGAAGUUAUUUUGAAAACUCCGGUGGUGUGAGAUGGGCCCGCGUCUGAUUAGCCAGUUGGCAGGGUAACGGCCUACCAAAGCGACGAUCAGUAGCCGGCUUGAGAGAGUGAACGGCCACAUUGGGACUGAGACACGGCCCAA